CCAUGAACACGCCUUCUAAUGCACGUGUUCGUAGUACUUUUAGUGAGUGAUCACUAGCAAGCAAGAGUAUCAGAUCAUUUAUAUCAUGGCAGUUUACAAUGCAUUCGAAACUGUUUUUGUGAUAUGAAACAGUCGUUGCUAGAAUAGGUACUGAAGAACUAUAAUGUCAAAAAAAUCGACACCUUUCCUCCCCACCCUUCUUGUUCCCUGCGUUCGUCCCAAAUACUAUGAACCUACCAAAACAUUUGUCGCCGGCCAUCCCCAGUCCGGGCCACCGUGGCCCCAGGCCCGACCACCGUCGUCAGGCUAGCCAUGGCCGAAAAAAGACCAGGCGAGCCUACCUCCCAUGCCUUCGCCCGAUCCUGCGCAAGCCCGGGCCAGCAGGGUGUCGGUGCCGCCGCUUGCAUCCCCCCGUACGCCCAGGCUGCGCACCGCCGCUUCCCUGUCGAACACACGCCACUAUGGUCCUUGCUCGCAUGGUGCGUCGCUAGGCUGCCUGCUCUGGCGUCGCUCCGGUCGGCCACCUGCUCCGGCGAGCGUCGUCAGGUGCCCGUCGAGCUCCUCCCAUCUUCUCCAAU
This 578-nucleotide long non-coding RNA is filed under the name Hordeum vulgare. RNAcentral's name for it is "long non-coding RNA (HVUL_LNC016753)". The record is from RNAcentral. Lineage: Eukaryota; Viridiplantae; Streptophyta; Magnoliopsida; Poales; Poaceae.